This is a non-coding RNA of Eptesicus fuscus (big brown bat), 86 nucleotides long. RefSeq annotates it as microRNA mir-9201a-3. NCBI's taxonomy places the organism in Eukaryota, Metazoa, Chordata, Mammalia, Chiroptera, Vespertilionidae. The transcript has a single exon. The record is from RefSeq and is marked provisional.
AGAGACCUGAAGAGAGAGGCAGGGUCUGAUCCUCAGCUUCUGUGGCAGCUGUUGAUCAGCUGUUGCCUCUCUCUUUCUCUCCAGGC